GAUCUUCGAAAGGGGAUUUGCAUGAAAAUUUCAUAUCCGUAUUGUUGUGUCAAGAGAGGAAAAUCUUCAUCAAACAAUUUAACAAUUUUUUGCCCCACUAAGAUAUUAAAUUACACGUGUCGGUAGAUCGUGAUGGUAUGAGAAGCUGCUGUGGAUGAAUCUCAUUAGCACUUCCCUUUCUAGGAAAAAAACAGAGUAGGAAAUUAUUUGACAAACACCCAAUGACUUUGUAAUGGCAGAGGGAAUAAAGCUUCCCCAAUUAGUGUGAA
Molecule: long non-coding RNA, 269 nt
Organism: Pocillopora damicornis (cauliflower coral)
Lineage: Eukaryota; Metazoa; Cnidaria; Anthozoa; Scleractinia; Pocilloporidae
Source: RefSeq, a predicted model, not a curated record